GUCCACGCCCUAAACGAUGUCAACUAGGUGUCGGGAGCGCAAGUUCUUGGUACCGCAGCUAACGCGUGAAGUUGACCGCCUGGGGAGUACGGUCGCAAGAUUAAAACUCAAAGGAAUUGACGGGGACCCGCACAAGCGGUGGAUGAUGUGGAUUAAUUCGAUGCAACGCGAACAACCUUACCUACCCUUGACAUGUCUGGAAGGCUGCUGAAAGGUGGCUGUGCCCGCAAGGGAACCGGAACACAGGUGCUGCAUGGCUGUCGU
This 264-nucleotide ribosomal RNA is filed under the name uncultured bacterium. RNAcentral's name for it is "partial 16S ribosomal RNA". It matches the Rfam family "Bacterial small subunit ribosomal RNA", at positions 793 to 1055 of the family's 1533-position model. The record is from RNAcentral.